This is a small nucleolar RNA of Mastomys coucha (southern multimammate mouse), 146 nucleotides long. RefSeq annotates it as small nucleolar RNA SNORA48. The transcript has a single exon. The record is from RefSeq and is a predicted model, not a curated record. NCBI's taxonomy places the organism in Eukaryota, Metazoa, Chordata, Mammalia, Rodentia, Muridae.
AACCCUUGGCAAUGGGCAAAGAGACACCUUGUUGAUGUUGGUAUUAUUCUUAUAUCAGUCAGGGGCAGAGCAGACAGCAGUCCUUAAUUCAUCUAGCUUGAUGCCUGGCUCGGUGGCCAAAACUGUCUUAUGUCUAAGAUUUGAUA